GGGUAAGUCCUACACGACCAGCUCCUUUCAAAUCCCCCAGGGUGGGAACACAGCAAGGGUAGAUUGUGUAGCGGUGCGAUGUAGUAAGCUUACCCACU
This 98-nucleotide signal recognition particle RNA is filed under the name Paludibacteraceae bacterium. Its description in RNAcentral is "signal recognition particle sRNA small type". It matches the Rfam family "Bacteroidales small SRP". From Rfam's summary of the family: The non-coding component of the signal recognition particle in Bacteroides Lineage: Bacteria; Pseudomonadati; Bacteroidota; Bacteroidia; Bacteroidales; Paludibacteraceae. The record is from RNAcentral.